AUUGAACGCUGGCGGCAGGCCUAACACAUGCAAGUCGAGCGGAGCGGCGGACGGGUGAGUAAUGCCUAGGAAUCUGCCUGGUAGUGGGGGAUAACGUCCGGAAACGGGCGCUAAUACCGCAUACUAUCAGAUGAGCCUAGGUCGGUUUAGCUAGUUGGUGGGGUAAAGGCGUACCAGGGCGACGAUCCGUAGCUGGUCUGAGAGGAUGAUCAGUCACACUGGAACUGAGACACGGACCAGACUCCUACGGGAGGCAGCAGUGGGGAAGAUUGGACAAUGGGAGAAAGCCUGAUCCAGCCAUGCCGCGUGUGUGAAGAAGGUCUUCGGGUUGUAAAGCUCUUUAAGUUGGGAGGCGUUACCAGCAGAAGAAGCGCCGGCUAACUACGUGCCAGCAGCCGCGGUAAUAC
Molecule: ribosomal RNA, 407 nt
Filed under: uncultured bacterium
Lineage: Bacteria
Description: partial 16S ribosomal RNA
Rfam family: Bacterial small subunit ribosomal RNA
Source: RNAcentral